CCUACGGGAGGCAGCAGUGAGGAAUAUUGGUCAAUGGGCGGAAGCCUGAACCAGCCAAGUAGCGUGCAGGAUGACGGCCCUACGGGUUGUAAACUGCUUUUAUACGGGAAUAACGCGCCUUACGUGUAGGGCUUUGCAUGUACCGUAUGAAUAAGGACCGGCUAAUUCCGUGCCAGCAGCCGCGGUAAUACGGAAGGUCCGGGCGUUAUCCGGAUUUAUUGGGUUUAAAGGGAGCGUAGGCCGCAUGUCCAGCGGGCUGUGAAAUGUCCGGGCUCAACCCGGGCCUUGCAGCGCGAACUGGCGGGCGGGAGUCCGCGGAAAGCAGGCGGAAGUCGUCGUGUAGCGGUGAAAUGCUUAGAUAUGACGAAGAACCCCGAUUGCGAAGGCAGCUUGCUGCAGCGGAACUGACGCUGAUGCUCGAAAGCGCAGGUAUCGAACAGGAUUAGAUACCCCAGUAGUC
RNAcentral lists this ribosomal RNA (460 nucleotides) under uncultured bacterium. RNAcentral's name for it is "partial 16S ribosomal RNA". It matches the Rfam family "Bacterial small subunit ribosomal RNA", at positions 338 to 795 of the family's 1533-position model. The record is from RNAcentral.